Molecule: ribosomal RNA, 321 nt
Filed under: Massilia sp.
Lineage: Bacteria; Pseudomonadati; Pseudomonadota; Betaproteobacteria; Burkholderiales; Oxalobacteraceae
Description: bacterial SSU rRNA
Source: RNAcentral
AAAUGCUAGUCGACGGCAGCGCGGGGCAACCUGGCGGCGAGUGGCGAACGGGUGAGUAAUAUAYCSGAACGUACCCAAGAGUGGGGGAUAACGUAGCGAAAGUUACGCUAAUACCGCAUACGAUCUAUGGAUGAAAGCAGGGGACCGCAAGGCCUUGUGCUCCUGGAGCGGCCGAUAUCUGAUUAGCUAGUUGGUGAGGUAAAGGCUCACCAAGGCYACGAUCAGUAGCUGGUCUGAGAGGACGACCAGCCACACUGGAACUGAGACACGGUCCAGACUCCUACGGGAGGCAGCAGUGGGGAAUUUUGGACAAUGKGCGCA